AUGAGUGUGUCAGGGUCGGAGAGCCGGGCCUCGGCCAACAAGCCCAAGUAUUCUAAAUUCACGCAGCAGGAGCUCCCGGCAUGCAAGCCGUUGCUAACUCCCGGAAUCGUCAUCGGCGCCUUCUCGCUCAUCGGCAUCAUCUUCGUCCCGAUAGGGCUCGCGUCCCUGUCAGCGUCGCAGGAGAUUGUUGAAUUGAUAGAUCGAUACGAUGAGGAGUGUGUCACCGCCAGCGACAAGAUCGGGUUCAUCCAGGACUCCAAGGCCAAUAAGGCGUGCACCAGAAAGAUCACGGUGCCCAAGCCGAUGAAAGGCCCCAUACACGUCUACUACCAGCUGGAGAACUUCUACCAGAACCACCGGCGGUACGUCAAGAGCCGGAGCGACCAGCAGCUGCGCGACAAGGACUACAAGGACCCCCAGGCGGUGAUCAAGGCCUGCGACCAGGAGGCCACCACCGGCGACGGCUCCCUCAUCGUGCCCUGCGGCCUCAUCGCCUGGAGCCUCUUCAACGACACCUACGCCUUCUCCGUCAACAAGAAGUCGGUGACGGUGAACAAGAAGGACAUCGCCUGGGCCAGCGACAAGAACAGCAAGUUUGGCAGCAACGUCUUCCCCGUCAACUUCCAGAAGGGCGGCCUCAUCGGCGGCGGCAACCUCAACGACAAGCUACCUCUGAGCGAGCAGGAAGACCUGAUCGUGUGGAUGCGGACGGCGGCGCUGCCGACGUUCAGGAAGCUGUACGGGCGGAUUGAGACGGACAUCAUGGCGAGCGACGAGAUCACGGUGGUGAUCCAGAACAACUACAACACGUACAGCUUCGGGGGCACCAAGGCGGUGGUGCUGUCGACGGCAUCGUGGAUCGGCGGCAAGAACAACUUCAUCGGCGUCGCCUACGUGGCCGUCGGCGGCAUCUGCCUCCUCCUCGCCAUGGGCUUCGCCGUCCUCUACGUCGUCAAGCCAAGGGCCCUCGGAGACCCGGCGUACCUGUCGUGGAACAAGGAGGCCGCCGAGUACUCGCACUGA
This 1023-nucleotide ribosomal RNA is filed under the name Triticum aestivum (bread wheat). RNAcentral's name for it is "partial small subunit ribosomal RNA". The record is from RNAcentral. Lineage: Eukaryota; Viridiplantae; Streptophyta; Magnoliopsida; Poales; Poaceae.